Schistocerca americana (American grasshopper) is the source of this 560-nucleotide long non-coding RNA. RefSeq lists it as uncharacterized. Lineage: Eukaryota; Metazoa; Arthropoda; Insecta; Orthoptera; Acrididae. The record is from RefSeq and is a predicted model, not a curated record. The transcript has 4 exons.
GUUGUACAUCACUAGUGUACCACUUUUGCUGUUAAUCAAGGCCUGUGAACAAAUAGUACAGUAACUUGAAGAAUGAGCAUGUAAUGCGAUGCAGAUUCAUGUUACACUCCAGGACUGCCAUGUGAGAGAGUCUGCUAUACCUGGCCAAUGAGAUGAAGUUGUACCACUUCCAUCAGUCCAGACAUUUGUCAAAGAAGUGCAGUUUCGAUGUCGCGAACGACCGACGGUGGAAAGAUGGUGUGCUCCAGCAGUCAGUACCUCGCUACCUGCCAUGGCGCGAGCAUCAGUGUGUGUGUGCAGAUAAUGGAUGUGUGUUACUUAAAGUAGCAAGCGGGAUUAUGAUAUUACGUGUGUUAUCAGUUGCUUGUCUUAUUACUGUGCUGACUAAUAAAACAUUAUUAUCUCAAAGUGUAGUGUUUGAUUAGCUGCAAAGGUGUUACUCAUACUGGCACGCUGCCAGCUUCAUACUGUAUUUACUUGAGUGUAAGACACCCCUGAAUAUAAAAUGGCCCAAUUUUAAAAAAAUUUUUAUUUAUUUAUUUUUUUAAUGAGAGGCUCCU